RNAcentral lists this ribosomal RNA (406 nucleotides) under uncultured bacterium. RNAcentral describes it as "partial 16S ribosomal RNA". It matches the Rfam family "Bacterial small subunit ribosomal RNA", at positions 29 to 526 of the family's 1533-position model. The record is from RNAcentral.
AUUGAACGCUGGCGGCAGGCUUAACACAUGCAAGUCGAGCGAGCCGCGGACGGGUGUGUAAUGUCUGGGAAACUGCCUGAUGGAGGGGUAUAACUAAUAGACACGGUAUCUACUACCGCAUACUAUCAUAUGUGCCCAGAGGGGCUUAGCUAGGAGGUGGGGAAAUGGCUCACCGAGGCGACGACCCCUAGCUGGUCUGAGAGGAUGACAAGCAACACUGGAAUGGAGACACGGGCGAGAUUCCUACGGGAGGCAGCAGGGGGGAAUAUUGCACAAGGGGAGAAAGCCGGAUGCAGCCAUGCCGCGUGUGUGAAGAAGGCUUUCGGGUUGUAAAGCACUGUCAGAGAGGAGGCGUUACUCGAAGAAGAAGCACCGGCUAACUCCGGGCCAGCAGCGGCGGUAAUAC